Molecule: ribosomal RNA, 449 nt
Filed under: uncultured bacterium
Lineage: Bacteria
Description: partial 16S ribosomal RNA
Rfam family: Bacterial small subunit ribosomal RNA
Source: RNAcentral
GUCGAGAAUCUUUCACAAUGGGGGCAACCCUGAUGGAGCGACGCCGCGUGGAGGAUAAGGUCUUCGGAUUGUAAACUCCUGUCAUGCGUGAACAAGGUUGCUUGGUUAAUACCUGGGCAAAUUGAUGGUAACGCAAGAGGAAGAGACGGCUAACUCUGUGCCAGCAGCCGCGGUAAUACAGAGGUCUCAAGCGUUGUUCGGAAUCACUGGGCGUAAAGGGUGCGUAGGUGGCGUGGUAAGUCAGAUGUGAAAGCCCGGGGCUCAACCUCGGAACUGCAUCCGAUACUGCCAUGCUCGAGUACUGGAGAGGUGACUAGAAUUCUCGGUGUAGCAGUGAAAUGCGUAGAUAUCGAGAGGAAUACCAAAGGCGUAGGCAGGUCACUGGACAGUUACUGACACUGAGGCACGAAGGCCAGGGGAGCGAACGGGAUUAGAUACCCCGGUAGUCC